AACGAACGCUGGCGGCAGGCCUAACACAUGCAAGUCGAGCGGACCUUUCGGGGUCAGCGGCGGACGGGUGAGUAACGCGUGGGAAUAUGCCCUUCUCUACGGAAUAGUCCUGGGAAACUGGGGGUAAUACCGUAUACGCCCUUUGGGGGAAAGAUUUAUCGGGGAAGGAUUAGCCCGCGUUGGAUUAGGUAGUUGGUGGGGUAAUGGCCUACCAAGCCGACGAUCCAUAGCUGGUUUGAGAGGAUGAUCAGCCACACUGGGACUGAGACACGGCCCAGACUCCUACGGGAGGCAGCAGUGGGGAAUCUUAGACAAUGGGGGCAACCCUGAUCUAGCCAUGCCGCGUGAGUGAUGAAGGCCUUAGGGUUGUAAAGCUCUUUCAGCUGGGAAGAUAAUGACGGUACCAGCAGAAGAAGCCCCGGCUAAUUCCGUG
Molecule: ribosomal RNA, 433 nt
Filed under: uncultured bacterium
Lineage: Bacteria
Description: partial 16S ribosomal RNA
Rfam family: Bacterial small subunit ribosomal RNA
Source: RNAcentral